This 29-nucleotide small RNA is filed under the name Bombyx mori (domestic silkworm). RNAcentral's name for it is "ovarian small RNA-18281". Lineage: Eukaryota; Metazoa; Arthropoda; Insecta; Lepidoptera; Bombycidae. The record is from RNAcentral.
UAAAGACGAAUGUUUACUUUUGUUUCUUC